Molecule: ribosomal RNA, 478 nt
Filed under: uncultured bacterium
Lineage: Bacteria
Description: partial 16S ribosomal RNA
Rfam family: Bacterial small subunit ribosomal RNA
Source: RNAcentral
GACGAACGCUGGCGGCGUGCUUAACACAUGCAAGUCGAACGGUAAGGCCCUUCGGGGUACACGAGUGGCGAACGGGUGAGUAACACGUGGGUGAUCUGCCCUGCACUUCGGGAUAAGCCUGGGAAACUGGGUCUAAUACCGGAUAGGACCACUGCCUGCAUGGGUGGUGGUGGAAAGCUUUUGCGGUGUGGGAUGGGCCCGCGGCCUAUCAGCUUGUUGGUGGGGUGAGGGCCUACAAAGGCGAGGACGGGUAGCCGGCCUGGGAGGGUGACCGGCCACACUGGGACUGAGAUACGGCCCAGACUCCUACGGGAGGCAGCAGUGGGGAAUAUUGCACAAUGGGCGCAAGCCUGAUGCAGCGACGCCGCGUGAGGGAUGACGGCCUUCGGGUUGUAAACCUCUUUCAGCACCGACGAAGCGCAAGUGACGGUAGGUGCAGAAGAAGGACCGGCCAACUACGUGCCAGCAGCCGCCGUAA